AUGAAUGCUGGCGGCGUGUCUAAGGCAUGCAAGUCGAACGGGUUCGUCAUUGUAGCAAUACAGUGACGGUCUAGUGGCAAACGGGUGCGUAUCACAUUGGUAACCUGCCUCGUAGUCGGGCAUAAGCCUUCGAAAGAGGGUCUAAUUCCACGAUGGUCUCAACAGCGUAAAGCUAUUGAGUAAAGUCGCAAGACGCUACGAGAGGGGCCUAUGGCCUAUCAGCUAGUUGGUGAGGUAAUGGCUCACCAAGGCUAUGACGGGUAGGGGAUGUGAGAGCAUGAUCCCCCUCACUGGGACUGAGACACUGCCCAGACACCUACGGGUGGCUGCAGUCGAGAAUAUUCCCCAAUGGGCGAAAGCCUGAGGGAGCGACGCCGCGUGUGCGAUGAAGGCCUUCGGGUCGUAAAGCACUUUUGCCGAGGAAGAAUCAUGACGGUACUCGGAGAAUAAGAGGUUGCUAACUCUGU
RNAcentral lists this ribosomal RNA (467 nucleotides) under uncultured bacterium. RNAcentral describes it as "bacterial SSU rRNA". It matches the Rfam family "Bacterial small subunit ribosomal RNA", at positions 29 to 506 of the family's 1533-position model. The record is from RNAcentral.